Molecule: long non-coding RNA, 1131 nt
Organism: Lycium barbarum (goji berry)
Lineage: Eukaryota; Viridiplantae; Streptophyta; Magnoliopsida; Solanales; Solanaceae
Exons: 2
Source: RefSeq, a predicted model, not a curated record
UAUAGUUUAGGGGUAUAUUUGGUACUUUCCCCAAAAAGUAAUAAGCAUUGACAUUUGACCACCCAACAUUUGACGCAUGCGGGUUAACUUUUCCAUGGGGAAAGGCAAAAGCAACGUUGGACAGUAGACAAAUGUAAGAAAAAACUCAGGUGAUCGAUUAUUUUCGGAAAGAGAUCCAGUACCUAUAAUGGGAGUUGACUUAUUCGGAAAGAAAUAUUCUUCCAGUCCAAAUUUAUAUAUUUACUAAUUACAUAAAAAGUGUACUAUAAUUUUACUUAUUCAUAAUAUAUGAAAAAAAAGUUAGAAAAAAUCAUAAUAAUAAAAAAUAAAUAAAUUAACAUAUAGGUCAAUCCUCGUAUAUAAAUUGGCACAACGAUAGGUGAUUAUUUUUUAGAAAAUGAGAUUUUGACCUCUUACCUUUUUCACAUAUCUUACGUGAAAAAAAAAUGAAGAUCUCGUAAAAUUAAAAAAAAGUUUCUAAAGGUAAAAAAAGAGACCCAAUACCCACCCACCACAUGUCAAAUAGAGCAUUCUCCUCGCCUAUCUGUCCUCCAAUUUUCCUUUUCAGCCAAAAAACCAGACAACACAAAGACCUCUUCUCCUCGCUCGACUAAGGAGGGAUUUGUCAGAUCUCUUUGGUCGAGCACUACUACAAUGUCGUGCGAAAAGAUAGAUGGUAUUGCGAGGUGGUUCGGGACGAGUGUCGCCUCGGCAUUCUUCGCAUCGUUGGAGCGAUGCGCAUGUGUGAAUCUGACAACAUAUGCAUCUGAUGAUGAGGAAGAAGAAGAAGCUAAAGAUAGGCCUUUGUUUAUGAACAAUUUGCCUUCUCAUGUUGAUCCUUGUCCUCAGGCUCACAAUUCUACCUCCGUUGUCAACCUCCCUGUUUGAUCACCCUCAAGGAACUGGCAUCACCAACUUCGUCAUAUUAAUCCCCUGACUCCAAACAGAGGAAAUGGAAAUGUAAUUCUGGUAUUAACUGUAAUAUUUUCUUUUUGUCCUUAUUAUAGACUGAUUUUUCCCAUGAAGUGUUGUAUGAGGUGUUUGUCCGUCGGCAGUUUUGUUACAAGGUCAAACAUUUAAGCACGAACAAGCUGCCUUUUAUUGUUCCUUUACCGCGAUAUUCUUUACCAA